UUGACCUCGGAUCAGGUAGGGAUACCCGCUGAACUUAAGCAUAUCAAUAAGCGGAGGAAAAGAAACCAACAGGGAUUGCCUCAGUAACGGCGAGUGAAGCGGCAACAGCUCAAAUUUGAAAUCUGGCCCUUGGGUCCGAGUUGUAAUUUGGAGAGGAUGUUUUGGGUACCGCGGCGGUUUAAAUUUCUUGGAACAGAAUGUCAGAGAGGGUGAGAGUCCCGUCUGGAACUGCGGCAGGGCCUAUGUAAAACUCCUUCGACGAGUCGAGUUGUUUGGGAAUGCAGCUCAAAAUGGGUGGUAAAUUUCAUCUAAAGCUAAAUAUUGGCCAGAGACCGAUAGCGCACAAGUAGAGUGAUCGAAAGAUGAAAAGCACUUUGAAAAGAGAGUUAAACAGUAUGUGAAAUUGUUGAAAGGGAAGCGCUUGCAACCAGACUUGUGUGUGGCGGUUCCCCCUUGCUUCUGCUUGGGCUACUCCGUCAUAUCCAGGCCAACAUCGGUUCUAGGGGUCGGUUAAAGGCCUUGGGAAUGUAUCUACCCCCGGGUAGACUUAUAGCCCAGGGUGUCAUGCGGCCUCCCGGGACCGAGGAACGCGCCUCGGCGAGGAUGUUGGCGUAAUGGUUGUCAGCGACCCGUCUUGAAACACGGACCAAGGAGUCUAACAUCUAUGCGAGUGUUUGGGUGUCAAACCCGUACGCGAAAUGAAAGUGAACGGAGGUAGGAAGCCUUAAGGCUGCACUAUCGACCGAUCCUGAUAUUUAUGGAUGGAUUUGAGUAAGAGCAUAGCUGUUGGGACCCGAAAGAUGGUGAACUAUGCCUGAAUAGGGUGAAGCCAGAGGAAACUCUGGUGGAGGCUCGCAGCGGUUCUGACGUGCAAAUCGAUCGUCAAAUUUGGGUAUAGGGUAAGUUCCUAAUUUCAUCUUCAGUUUUCUACUGUAAACAAUUGCUAACGGUAUUCUUAACAGGGCGAAAGACUAAUCGAACCAUUAUAUGAUAGCUACUAGGUGGUUAAGUGUAACCUCAAAGUGGUUGCAAGUGCCUUAUUCUGGCGCGACACUGCUAAAUUGCGGGGACUUCCUAAAGCUAUUGUUACCAAGCCGGCCCUGAAAAGGGACGGUGGCCGGGGUAAUGACCUAGGGUAUGGUAAAAACACAAUAGAUGUAACAAUGGAUGAUCCGCAGCCAAGUCCUAAGGGCUCUUUUGAGUCUAUGGAUGCAGUUCACAGACUAAAUGGUAGUGGGCUCUAAGCAAAGAUCUUGGGGCUUAAGAUAUAGUCGGUCCUCGGGGAAAGCCCGGGCGCAUACGCUAAAUCUGUGGUAUAGAAUAGCCUCCUUAUGGAGGGUUGUCACAGACCUGAACGGUGCGGGCACUCUUUUAGGGGUGUG
RNAcentral lists this ribosomal RNA (1382 nucleotides) under Chaetothyriales sp. MACrb1. RNAcentral describes it as "eukaryotic LSU rRNA". It matches the Rfam family "Eukaryotic large subunit ribosomal RNA", at positions 24 to 1888 of the family's 3401-position model. The record is from RNAcentral. Lineage: Eukaryota; Fungi; Ascomycota; Eurotiomycetes; Chaetothyriales.